CCCCAUAGUUCCUAGUCGGAUUCAUUAACCACUGAGCCACAAUGGGAACUCCUCCAUGUUUUUUUAAAUUAAAAAAUGUCUUCAUUACUGAAAAAUGCUCUCCAGCAUCUGAGCCUUCAGAGAUCUACAAUCUUUAUGCAAUAGUAACUUUAAAGACCACUGAUCACCAUUAAAAUACCAUCACAAUAAAAAGGCUUGAAAUAUUGUGAGAAUUACCAAAAUGUGACACAAAGUUAACAAAUGCUGUUAGAAAAGGGUGCUGAUAGACUUGCUCAAUGCAGGGUUGCCCCAAACAUUCAAUUUGUGGGGAAAAAAAAAAAAAAAAAAAGCAGUAUCUGUGAAGUGCCAUAAAGCAAAGCACAAUAAACCAAGGUGUGCCUAUAAUUAAAGCCCCUGUGUGUUUUGUGUCUUACUUACACUUGUUUUCAGAUUUAAAACAAAGUUCUUUCUCAAUGUUUUGUCAAAUAGAUCCCAUGGGACCACCAUGUUUGCAAGUUUGUUUAUUCCCCCCCCCCCCCAGAAGAGCUCUUCACAAGCAUGGGCACAAAAUAGCACUUUUGUGUGUGUGUGACUCGCUUAAAAAUACAUCAUGAGAGAAUUUUCAAACACAUAUUGUGAGUUUACCCCUCCUGGCACUCAUGAUGUCUCUUAUUAUCAGCACAUCCAAAAUAUUAUUGUCCUACACAUGGCUGGAUGAUUCUUUAACAAUGAUUAAACUUUACCACAGACUAUCAUUGCCUAGCCUCAUUGAUUACUGAGAAGGUUUUAUUAAUUAUUAUUUUACAUUAUCUCUACUGGGUUUUCUUCUCCCUGUAAACAGGCUUUAGUCUUCACUAGCUCUUUAAAAGCGCCGUUAUCAAGCCAAUUUAUAAUGACUAUCCUUUGCCAAACCUAGUCUUGUUUCUCCCCAUACUUUCAAUAGACGCUACUUCAGUAAGCCUGCCUCAGAACCACCUGGGGGCUUGUAGGAACAUGGGCUGCAGGGUGCCACCCCCACAGUACCUGAUUGGUAGGUUUGGAGUGGGCUGAAAAUUUGCAUUUCCUAACAGGUUCCCAGAUGAUGCUAAUACUGCUGAUCCAGACCUCACUUUGAGACUCGGCUUCUACUUGCCCUGUUUGCCGGUCUUCACAGCUAGAGCCGCUUAACUCACACGUGAUUCUGUCCCAGGCACAUAAGAAGGAAUAGAGGCCUUUUAUUGGUUCCGUAUGGCGUAACUUUACGGCAGAUUUUACGUGGGUAGCAGAACUGAGGAUCUGCUGAGUUUUCCGUCUCCUUUACGUCUUCCCUUCUUGGAUUCCCUGCUGAGCAGGCUGUUUCCUCUGGGACUAGCACACUUUGAUUUCACUUGCUCAGUUCCUCUGGAAGCUGAAGUUGAGUGGACCCUUCAACCCAGGCUCCAUCUCCUUCAUGCUCUGAAACUCAGUGCUGGCUUGGUCUUUAUCCUCUGUGAAUGGUAAGAUCAAGUAACUUGGUUAGAAGGUGCUAAUGCCACCUGCAUGCAUAACCUGGAUCCAAGGUGUGAUAACAGAACCAGAAGUUCCGUGAACUUAGUGUACUGUCAAGAGUUAUUGAAAUGAGAAUGGAAUGCAAGCCCCAAGAAGAAAGCUGAUGGAUUUGGACCUUGUUAAUAGUUUCUGAGUGCCUGCUACCUGCCACCAUAGAACACAAGUACGACAUUGCCUCUGACCAGGAUCUCAUUAGAGAGAAAGAGACACAACUAACAAAAUAAUGAACUACCACACAGAAUGGUGAAUACUGAUAAAGGUCUAUACGGAGUUCUCUUCAGGAAGAGGACCUGCAUCUCUACUAGACUUGGUGGCUGGGGACAGUGGAGUCUUCCAGAAACUACCUGAUGUAAGAUAUCUCAACAGGGUGAAUGCAGAGGUGGAUAUUAAAAUGAACAACUUCUUCUAAACCAGAUAAUAAAGAGAUUUGCAAAAGGCUGAAGGUGUUGAUCUAAGAGGGUCUGAAGGUACUGGUGGAUUUGCACUUCAUUUUUUAUUUGAGAUGGUAUCUCAAUGACACCAAAAUGGAAGAACCAUUUCACUUUCUACAGUGGCAAGCUGGUGGCUCUAUUCCACAUUGUCAUUGUCCUCACACUGAAACCCAGGAUGCCCAGGACUUGGCACCCACUCCAUUAAUGCAUGUUGCAGGGGAAGAAAAGAUGCAGCAAAACAUGUGCUAACCAUUAAACCUUCUGCCUAGAGGGAUAGACUUCUAGAAAGCCAGAAGACUAGUCUUUUUAAAGAGAAGGGAAAGCCAAUGAGAGAAAAAAAAAUGGAGUAGAAAGAAGAGUCUGGAGGGUCAUUCACUUGACUUGAGGAAUAUGUGAAACAAGAUCAGAUCAAGAUGGUGGAGGAGUAGGAUGUGGAACUCACCAUCUCCCACAAAUACUUUAAAAAUAAAUCUGCAUGUAGAAUGAUUUGCACAGGACAUCUACCGAUCACUGGCAGGUCUUCCCAAAGGGCAAGAAAAUCUCCACACAAAUGGGAACAAACACCAAAGACUUCUACUUUCUGCUCUCUGCCAUGUGAGGAUAACAAGGAGAGGACAAACAUUGCAAACCAGGAAGCAGGUUCUCAGCAGACACCAGAUUUGCCAGCACCUUGAUUUUGGACUUCCCAGUUUCCAUAACUAUGAGAUAUAAAUGUAUGUUGUUUAAACACCCAACUGUGGUACAUUUGUUAUCAUAGCCUGAACUGCCUAAGACAAGAUAGAAUCAUUUACUUCUG
Sus scrofa (pig) is the source of this 2733-nucleotide non-coding RNA. Lineage: Eukaryota; Metazoa; Chordata; Mammalia; Artiodactyla; Suidae. The record is from RefSeq and is a predicted model, not a curated record.